AUUGAACGCUGGCGGCAGGCCUAACACAUGCAAGUCGAGCGAGCGGCGGACGGGUGAGUAAUGUCUGGGAAACUGCCUGUUGGAGGGGGAUAACUACUGGAAACGGUAGCUCAUACCGCAUACCAUCAGAUGUGCCCAGAUGGGAUUAGCUAGUAGGUGGGGGAAUGGCUCACCCAGGCGACGAUCCCUCGCUGGUCUGAGAGGAUGACCAGCCACACUGGAACGGAGACACGGUCCAGAAUCCUACGGGAGGCAGCAGUGGGGAAUAUUGCACAAUGGGCGCAAGCCUGAUGCAGCCAUGCCGCGUGUGUGAAGAAGGCCUUCGGGGUGUAAAGUACGUUCAGCGGGGAGGCGGUACCCGCAGAAGAAGCACCGGCUAACUCCGUGCCAGCAGCCGCGGUAAUAC
Molecule: ribosomal RNA, 406 nt
Filed under: uncultured bacterium
Lineage: Bacteria
Description: partial 16S ribosomal RNA
Rfam family: Bacterial small subunit ribosomal RNA
Source: RNAcentral